RNAcentral lists this ribosomal RNA (602 nucleotides) under uncultured crenarchaeote. RNAcentral's name for it is "bacterial SSU rRNA". It matches the Rfam family "Archaeal small subunit ribosomal RNA", at positions 52 to 630 of the family's 1478-position model. The record is from RNAcentral. Lineage: Archaea; Thermoproteati; Thermoproteota.
UGNUNCUUCCUGCGCUCUUUAGCUAUGAUAAGAGUGCGUCCCACAGCUCAGUAACACGUGGCUAACCUGCCCUCGGGACAGAGACAACCCCGGGAAACUGGGGCUAAUCCCUGAUAGGUGAAGAACUCUGGAAUGAGUCUCCGCCUAAAAGGCGCUUACAUCAUGCUUGUAGGCGUCGCCCAAGGAUGGGGCCGCGACCGAUCAGGUUGUUGGUUGAGGUAACGGCUCACCAAGCCAUUUACCGGUACGGGCCGUGAGAGCGGGAGCCCGGAGAUGGGCACUGAGACAAGGGCCCAGGCCCUACGGGGCGCAGCAGUCGCGCAAACUUUGCAAUACACGAAAGUGUGACAGGGCUAUCCCGAGUGCCGCCGCUGAGGGUGGCUUUUACUCAGUCUAGCAAGCUGAGAGAAUAAGGAGAGGGCAAGACUGGUGUCAGCCGCCGCGGUAAUACCAGCUCUCCGAGUGGUGUGGAUGUUUAUUGGGCCUAAAGCAUCCGUAGCUUGCUGAACAAGUCCUCUGUUAAACCCAACGAAUUAAUCGUUGGAGUGCGGGGGAUACUGCUCGGCUUGGGGGCGAGAAAGCAAACGGUAUUCCCGGGUAGA